UGGCGAACGGGUGAGUAAUAUAUCGGAACGUGCCCAGUCGUGGGGGAUAACGCAGCGAAAGCUGUGCUAAUACCGCAUACGAUCUCUGGAUGAAAGCGGGGGACUCGCAAGAGCCUCGCGCGAUUGGAGCGGCCGAUAUCAGAUUAGCUAGUUGGUGGGGUAAAAGCCCACCAAGGCGACGAUCUGUAGCUGGUCUGAGAGGACGACCAGCCACACUGGAACUGAGACACGGUCCAGACUCCUACGGGAGGCAGCAGUGGGGAAUUUUGGACAAUGGGCGAAAGCCUGAUCCAGCAAUGCCGCGUGUGGGAAGAAGGCCUUCGGGUUGUAAACCACUUUUGUACGGAACGAAACGGUCUGCCUUAAUACGGUGGGCUAAUGACGGUACCGUAAGAAUAAGCACCGGCUAACUACGUGCCAGCAGCCGCGGUAAUACGUAGGGUGCGAGCGUUAAUCGGAAUUACUGGGCGUAAAGCGUGCGCAGGCGGUUAUAUAAGACAGUUGUGAAAUCCCCGGGCUCAACCUGGGAAUUGCAUCUGU
RNAcentral lists this ribosomal RNA (540 nucleotides) under uncultured Rhodoferax sp. RNAcentral's name for it is "bacterial SSU rRNA". It matches the Rfam family "Bacterial small subunit ribosomal RNA", at positions 96 to 630 of the family's 1533-position model. Lineage: Bacteria; Pseudomonadati; Pseudomonadota; Betaproteobacteria; Burkholderiales; Comamonadaceae. The record is from RNAcentral.